Molecule: long non-coding RNA, 665 nt
Organism: Oreochromis aureus
Lineage: Eukaryota; Metazoa; Chordata; Actinopteri; Cichliformes; Cichlidae
Exons: 2
Source: RefSeq, a predicted model, not a curated record
UUUCAUGUGUUUUCGAGAAUAUGAUGCGAUCAGUUGCAUAAACUAUGAAUUCACAAUGACGCAGGAAGAACUUUCGAAGCUCCUCGGACACUGAAUGCUCGAACAAACAGAAGAAAAUUCAAACACGAUUAAACUAAAUGAAAUAACCGGGAAAGUUAGCUAAAUGAGCUUUGUAUGUGUUGUCCGUGACCGUGGGCUGCUGGCAACAGUCCAACAAAAUAAUCGACACAGAUGGAUACCAGGGCGCUUCAAAUAAGGAACAAGAUCUGAGUCUGUAGGACAAUGCCUGCACAGAGGCUACACAGCUGUGUGGACAAGCACAACCAGGUCCACUGAUGCAGGGUCACCAUACUCCAAACACAGCUUCCACAGUGGCCAGGAAAACAUUACAACAGGAACACAGUAGCUCCACACCAGGGAAAUGUUAACGCACCUACUGUUUUUUGAAUUGCCUUCUUUUCUCAUCUCGUCAGCUUUCUGCAGGAAAAGUCACACUCAGAACACUCAGUGAAUGAGUGCAGUUGUCUUGUUCAUCUCUCAGCGAGACAUACAAGCAGUUUGUUGUAAUGUAUUUAAGGCAGCACUGAUUGCCAUGCUGCAUAAUGCAAAAAAUGUAAAGCAGCAGACUGCGAGUUCUGACUCAAGAAUAAAGAUGCAAACUGUGA